Molecule: transfer RNA, 49 nt
Filed under: Spirometra erinaceieuropaei
Lineage: Eukaryota; Metazoa; Platyhelminthes; Cestoda; Diphyllobothriidea; Diphyllobothriidae
Description: tRNA-Gly
Source: RNAcentral
AUAUUAUAUCACUUUUCCAAAGUGGGGAUCUAUUUGUUUAGAUAAUAUA